ACUGCAAGAUACCCUUUUGGUACAUUUGCGAUUUUUGAUGGUGUUUGGCUACUGUUAAAUGAAGCCCGUCUAAUAGCAGCAGGUAAACGAAAGCCCAUUUUAAAUGUGUCAAAGAACAAAGUAAAGCUCUCAAAUUCAAGAAAACUGUAUGUAUCUUUUGAUCUUGCGAAUGACUUGUGGUUUCUAUGAAGGAAAAUAGCGUAUUUAUAGUCUUCAAGAGUUUAUUGAAAUCCAAUUUUUUUGAGAAAUAAUUGUUAAAGAAUGGGGUCCAUGAGAUGAGAGAUCAUAUGGUAUUUUCCUGGAUGUCUCUUUAUAUUAAGGAUCAACAACUUCAAUAAGAGUGUUAAUAUAAUAUGCCCCACCUUCUAAAUGAAAGGCUAAUAGAUUACCCUCUUGGAAGUCAAAUGUGAUGGCUCGGUUAAACUUAAUGCUUGGUUUAUGCAUACUCAUAUUUUUGUAGACAUCCAUUAGACAUGUCACAUGUUUUCUCCGUAUUGUUAACGCGGCUCAAUGCUGACAUAUAGCUAGAUACCACAAUUCUAUUGUAGUAAUUAUAAGGUAGAUAAUGGGUUGUUGGCUACAAAUCAUAAAUGUUAGGAAGCAACAGAGAACCUUGAUCUCAGGCUUGGUCGUUACUCAUGGUUACCAGAAGAUUUUUUUUUUUGACUCAUGGUUACCGAAAGAUAGCAAGUGGAUUACAAUCCAGAAGAAAGUAAUUUAAGUUUUGACCCAAACUAGUAGUACAAAAAUACACUAUUCUGAAAAUUGAAUUUCAACAGUCCUAUAUGUAUAUAAUUGCAGUUUUUUGAAGAAAGUCCAGCAACAACUGCUUUGCCAAGAUUUUAAGGUGGAUUAUACCUCAACUUAAAAUUGUGUCGAUUGAUGACCUUUUUUUACUGCAUAAAAGAAUGAUUAGCUUGUUGAACCUUGAUUGAUGAAAAUCUGUUAACAAUUGAGGGGAACAAUGAAGUUGUUGUAUUUUAAUGUUGCGUAACUUUUUUGGUUUCCUCUAGAUAAGUUGGUAAGAGAUAAGAUAUAGAGUCAUGAAUAAAAGGCCAACAGGAAACAGCAGGCUAAGCAAGAGAUCAUGGCCUAGUUUAGAAUUUAGAUUAGUUUCUAGCUUUUAGGAACUUUCCAAUCUUCAAUUGAGAUGACUAUUUGGUUCUUAUCAAACAAAAAACAAACUUUUAAAUGGUAUUAAAUGCUUUUUAUAUUCUUAAUAUAUAUAUAUAUAUAUAAAUAUUUUCUUUCAAUAAAAAAUCAAAAUGAAAUGAAUAUUGGGUUUUCUCAUAGGUGAAUGCUUCAUCUUACAAAACCAGUCCUCCUCUGCAUGGCUAUCAAUACUUGAGUUUAUAAUAUCUAUAUUGACUUGAAAUUCAUGUUUUACUGCUGUUCUAUUUGUAGAUUAUGGCUGGACACAGAAUUGGCAAUGGAAGACUAUUCAUAAUUGUGUCAAGAAUUUGAAAAACAUGAACUCUAUAUUAUUUGAUGGGUUUAGCUUCUGUUUUAGGUGCUAAUAAGUUUAAUUGUGUUUAUAGUGCUAAUACAUGCUCUGUGCAGACACUGUUUAGUCAUGGAAUUCAACUCCUUAAACAUGUGAACUGCAAAUUUUUGUUGUCUAGUCACUCUCUUUACCAAAUGCAGGGAGAUUAUGACAAUCUUUUGAUUAGGAAAAUACAUAAUAUACAUUUUUAUGAAUAGUGGAGGAAGCUGCUAGGAACUCAGUAAAGGGUUGCCGCUAAAUGCGUGCUUUCUGACAACAACUUCAAACGACAAGUCCAUGUGAAGAGCACAGGAAGUCCUUGUGAUUGUGGUCUCCACCACCUUCUUCAAAUACCACAAGAAAAAUAAAUGUACAAAUUAAUUGGUGACUAAGGUGUUGAUUUAUGUGAUCAGUUAUCGGUCUAUUCCUUUCUUCAUUUGUAUUUCACUUCUACCGACUUGCUUCUAGAAUUCUAUCAUGAGCCAAUCAAGUUGAGAAUAUUUAUAGAUUAAAGAAAGUUUUUUCUUUCAAGAUUUAUUUGUUUGAGUUUUGUUGUGUGGCCUCAUAAGAUAUCCAAAAGAAUUACCAGGCAUGCAUUACCACAUAUAUUAUGUGAUAGACAAUUUCCUUAAAAUUGGUGCAUGGCUUGUGUUUGUGCAUAAAAUGCAAGUUUUUGAGAUGAAAAUAAAAUAACAAAUAAAUUUGCAAGAAUAUAGUUUUGCAAGGUUCUCAUUUCAGAUUUCCACUUAAGAGGAAACAUAAAAAAUAGAAGAAAAAAAGUCCUGAUAUACAAAAGUUGUCUCAACUAGUCAAUCCUAUUGUGUUAUGUUAUCAUUCAUAUGACUUUUUUGCAGUAUGAAUUAGUUACAAUUUGUUCAAUCGAGAAGUUGUUUGUAAGAAGACAUCUUCCUUGCAGGGAAUUGUGAGGCCACCCAUUGGAUGACAGUAACCGAACUCCUCUUCAGCUUGGCUCAACAAUUCUUGAAAUGAAGGUUGGUUCAAGAAUGAAACUGGAAUCAAGAACCUCUUCAUUUCCUCUCCAACAUAUACCGCAAGGUAGCCUUUUGGGACUUCUGUUUCCUUGAUAGAUGCUUGACUUGCACUAAAUGAUGAUCGUCUAAUACCAGGUAAGCGAAAACCCAUUCUUGUUUUAUUUUUUUUCGACAAAAUGAUGUGAAAGAAGUAGUAGAAGAAAGAAUUGAACUUGAAUUCUUAUGCUUCAAGGUAAGAAUGAUAUGUG
RNAcentral lists this long non-coding RNA (2723 nucleotides) under Cicer arietinum (chickpea). Its description in RNAcentral is "long non-coding RNA (CARI_LNC001539)". The record is from RNAcentral. Lineage: Eukaryota; Viridiplantae; Streptophyta; Magnoliopsida; Fabales; Fabaceae.